GGGGGAGAGAGGUGGAAAAGGCAACAAACAAGAGGUUUCUUGUGAGGAACAUUGUUGAACAAGCUGCAGUUAGGGAUGUUCAAGAAGCCUGUGUUUAUGAUGGUUAUACGCUUCCUAAGCUGUGUGAGAGGAUGGUCAUCGUCCGGUGAAGCUGGCUUCUAACAACCGGGAUACACCUGUAGUAACUCAAGUGAAAUCUUAGUUGGAUGAUCUACAAUAGGAAGUUUAGCAGAGGGUAUGUGAUUGGCUGUGUUGCCAAGGUACAACCCUCAUCAGAGAAUUACUGAGUACUCUGAAAACAUGUACCAUCAAUGUUAACAAA
This is a long non-coding RNA of Macadamia integrifolia, 322 nucleotides long. RefSeq lists it as uncharacterized. NCBI's taxonomy places the organism in Eukaryota, Viridiplantae, Streptophyta, Magnoliopsida, Proteales, Proteaceae. The record is from RefSeq and is a predicted model, not a curated record. The transcript has 2 exons.